CACGUAGGCACCAAGCGUUAUCCGGAUUUAUUGGGCGUAAAGAGCUCGUAGGCGGUUCAGUAAGUCGGGUGUGAAAACUCUGGGCUCAACCCAGAGAGGCCACCCGAUACUGCUGUGACUAGAGUGCGGUAGGGGAGCGGGGAAUUCCUGGUGUAGCGGUGAAAUGCGCAGAUAUCAGGAGGAACACCAGCGGCGAAGGCGCCGCUCUGGGCCGUAACUGACGCUGAGGAGCGAAAGCAUGGGUAGCAAACAGG
Molecule: ribosomal RNA, 254 nt
Filed under: uncultured bacterium
Lineage: Bacteria
Description: partial 16S ribosomal RNA
Rfam family: Bacterial small subunit ribosomal RNA
Source: RNAcentral